RNAcentral lists this long non-coding RNA (380 nucleotides) under Phaseolus vulgaris (common bean). RNAcentral's name for it is "long non-coding RNA (PVUL_LNC003862)". The record is from RNAcentral. Lineage: Eukaryota; Viridiplantae; Streptophyta; Magnoliopsida; Fabales; Fabaceae.
UGGUUCAUUCAGUUUCUAGUUACAACUUAGAAAUUUUAAAAUUAGUGAGUAGAAUGUAGUUCUAGUUUGGAUUAGCUCCUAAGUCGUGAGAGUUUUACUUAAAACUCUUAUAUUAUACUUUUUUAGUACUGGAAGGCAAAUUUCUGUUAAGUUUAUAGGCGCUUAUUCAGAAGUUAUAUGAAAGAGUUUGGGUGUACUUGAUGAGAAGUUAAUUCAAAUUAGUUCUUACCUAUGAAGAUUAUUUUUUCCUACUUUAUUGGCUAUGUUUGCUCAUGUACCUCAUUAUUGCAGGUAUCUCUUAUGCUACUCUUAUGCUCAUAAUGUAGCACCCAAAGGAAAAUUUAUCGCUUUUGUUACAACAGAAGUAGAGACCGACCAAC